Chroicocephalus ridibundus (black-headed gull) is the source of this 600-nucleotide long non-coding RNA. RefSeq lists it as uncharacterized. The transcript has 3 exons. The record is from RefSeq and is a predicted model, not a curated record. NCBI's taxonomy places the organism in Eukaryota, Metazoa, Chordata, Aves, Charadriiformes, Laridae.
CGCAGAUACAUGUGCAUGAGAAAGAAAAGUGUUGAUGUUUGCUUGUUCGGGCUGACGGGAAUGGCCCACGAAUUUAGGAUUAAAUUACUAAUGGCAAUCGUGGAUCCGUGUCAAGGGAGUGGAGCAACACUUCAGAAGGCGGAGCCCUGGCUCCAGCACCUCGCUCCCAGGGAACCCCGCCGGCCGCCAGCAUCCAAGUGCCACGGAGGACAAACGCGGAGAGAUGGUCAGCAAACAAUAAGAAGGUGUGAGAUGGAAUACGAUGCUGUUUGUUUUUCUGGACGGUCAAUAGUUUUCCCAAAAUUUCAGCUUCCUGUGCUUUUCAUUUUUGAUGAAAGUCUGUUUCAGCAGUUAAAGUAAGAAAACAACCCGCAUGCAACACGUGGAAGACUUUUUGGAAUAAAUGCCCUUUAGAGUGAGAGACCUUUACCUGCCUUAUGAAAUUGCAUCAAUAUUUCAAGGAAUAGGACAGAGGAAAAGUCAUAUUCAUGUAAGAUUUCACAAUGUGAUUUUGCAACACCUGCAGCGGAGUACCCAUGUUUUCUGACAGUGCUCACAAGAGCAGAAGACAAGCGUGUGUAAAAAAAAUAAUUAAAAUAU